Molecule: long non-coding RNA, 471 nt
Organism: Cotesia glomerata
Lineage: Eukaryota; Metazoa; Arthropoda; Insecta; Hymenoptera; Braconidae
Exons: 3
Source: RefSeq, a predicted model, not a curated record
GUACAUUCUUCUUUAUAAGUCCUAGAUCUUUCACUCUGAGCGCACACUAUUCUUGAAACAGCGUUGAAGAAACAUCUCCAAGCUUACAAACUCGAAAGUUAUUUCAAGGCAAGAAAUAUGGCUAAAAUACUGUUGAUGUUUAUUGUUCUAACAUGCCUGAUCGCAACUAUUACACCAGCGGUUUAUGACUAUGCAUGCUACGAAAAAGGAUGUAGCAUUAUUGAAGGUCGAUGCUCAAAGAAUGAAGAUUGUUGUGAUGGGUAUCAAUGUCACCCACUAGACUCCUCAUGGCAAGUUGUUCAAAAGAAUGGAUGUUACCCAGUAGAUCCUGUUCCAUGCAGCCAAUUGGAAAAGAAAAAUGUUUAAAAGUAUUUGAGAUUGGUGUUAAAAGCAAUUAAGGUGUUUGAACACAUUUCACUUGUAAAGAAAAAAAAAAUUAUUUCAAAUAAUAAUAAAAAAUUUUGUUAAAAA